UACGAAGGGGGCUAGCGUUGCUCGGAAUCACUGGGCGUAAAGCGCACGUAGGCGGAUUGUUAAGUCGGGGGUGAAAUCCUGGAGCUCAACUCCAGAACUGCCUUCGAUACUGGCGAUCUUGAGUCCGGGAGAGGUGAGUGGAACUCCGAGUGUAGAGGUGAAAUUCGUAGAUAUUCGGAAGAACACCAGUGGCGAAGGCGGCUCACUGGCCCGGUACUGACGCUGAGGUGCGAAAGCGUGGGGAGCAAACGGG
Molecule: ribosomal RNA, 253 nt
Filed under: uncultured bacterium
Lineage: Bacteria
Description: partial 16S ribosomal RNA
Rfam family: Bacterial small subunit ribosomal RNA
Source: RNAcentral